Molecule: ribosomal RNA, 2369 nt
Filed under: Candidatus Sungiibacteriota bacterium
Lineage: Bacteria; Candidatus Sungiibacteriota
Description: partial 23S ribosomal RNA
Rfam family: Bacterial large subunit ribosomal RNA
Source: RNAcentral
CCCGGUGAAAAUACAAUACCGGUGAAGAUGCCGGUUACCUGCAGUUAGACGAAAAGACCCCGGGAGCUUUACUGUAGCUUGAUAUUGGGUCUAACAUUCUCAUGCGUAGCAUAGGUGGGAGGCAUUGAAGUCGCGCUUUCGGGCGCGAUGGAGCCGUCAGUGAAAUACCACUCUUGGGAACAUUAGAUCCUAACUUGCGAAGACCAAACUUCGCAAAGACAGUGUCUGGCGGGCAGUUUUUAUGGGGCAUAAUCCUCCUAAAGAGUAAUGGAGGAGUUUAAAGGUCGGCUUAGGCCGGAUGGAAAUCGGCCCGGACCCGCAAAGGGAAAUGCCGGCUUGACUGCGAGUCUGACACGACGAGCAGAUGCGAAAGCAGAACUUAGUGAACCGAUGGCCACAUUAUUUUCUCGAAUCCAUCUCGAAUCGUAUCGAAUAUUUCUCGAAUUUUUAUUCGAGAAUCAUUCGGGUUCAUUCGGGAAGGAUUCGGGAAAUAAUACUUACUAGAACAAGGCCAGAGAUUAACGGAUAAAAGUUACCCCGGGGAUAGACCCAAUUAUGGGUCAGUUGUCCAACCCCACAGAAUACUUACUAGAACAAGGCCAGAGAUUAACGGAUAAAAGUUACCCCGGGGAUAGACCCAAUUAUGGGUCAGUUGUCCAACCCCACAGCAAUGUGGGAGAAGUACGGCUUAUAACGGUGAACCAGAGGCGGUCUUUCCUCGCAAUCGCGGGGUUCUCGACCUCUUGGAAUACCGUGGGAAGUCCGCGCAUUUUGCUUUGCAAAAUGCUAAGUUCAAAAUGAAAAAAUAAAAGUGCAAAAUUUUUGACUUUUGCAUUUUGCGUUUUGAAUUUAGCGUGCAAAGCGAGCGCUUGACCCCGUAACGACUUAUCCGAAAGGAUGGAGCCGUUGCAAAAUUUGCAGCGGCUAACACGCCGUCUCCUAUCAAAAAAAUACCAAUGCUAUGGUUGUUAAUAUUUAAACCUACGGCAGGUGAUAGGAUGAAGAUAUAGUCUAAUGUGAAAACAUUGAACAGGCUAGUUCCGCCCAAGCGUCCAUAGCGACGGCGGAGUUCGGCACCUCGAUGUCGGCUCAAAUAGGAAAAUUGAUUGAAAAUUGGAAAUUGAAAAUUGGAGCUUCCGCUGCUGUGCAGCGGCUGACCCCGUAACGACUGAGGCGCAAGCCAAGAUAGAUUAUCAGUCCGGUAAUCUAUAAAACGCUGACCCCCAUAAAGUUUGUGGGGUGAAAAUAUAGUCUACACAUGUAGUAAUACAUGAACAUGUGCAUCUUAGCGCGGGGGUGGAGAGUGCGUAAGCUUCUCUCCUUGGGAGUAAUCUCAAGGUAAUAAACUAGCUCAAAACGGUAGAGUCCUAAUCGUUGAUAAUUCAUUUUGAAGGUCCCAAGUAACCUGAUAUAAUGAAAUCAAUGAUGGAUGUUACCGUGGGAAAGGAUUUAGGCGAUGACAUAACAAAGGCAUAUAUUGCUGGUUUUCUUGACGGCGAUGGCGCCAUUACAGCAGUGAUUGAAAGACAUGCUGAGAAGAAAUUUAGCUUCCGAGUUCGAGUAUCACUCGACUUCUAUCAGCAUAAAGCCCAUAUCUACCUUCUCCACUACUUAAGAAAGGUUUUUGGUGAAGGGUAUCUUGGACGAUCGAUUCGAAAUACUCAUAAGCUAUCGUUAAGAAAUCAAACGACACUAAAGAAUAUUUUACCUUUGUUAUAUCCAUUUAGCCGUAUCAAGCGUAAUCAGAUUCGUAUUGCAUUACGUAUUUUGAAUACGGUCAUUCACAAGAAAAGUGAUCUACUCAGGGUUGCACGGCUUGCGGAUAAACUUAGUUCGUAUAAUGUGCGGUCACAGAGCAGACGCAAAAACUUUUCGACGAUCAUUGUCUAGUUCUCCCGUAACGACUGAUUCCCGCUGAAAGCGGGAUGAGAUAGAUGCCUAUUAGGCAUCUAUCAGACGGCUAGCAUCCUAACUCAGCCUUUUGAGUAGAAAGGCUGUGUGGAUGAAGGUAUAGUCUAUACUCAUAGGAAUAUGAGAACGAAAUGAGCUCCCAAGCGUUCGGCUGUUCGCCGAUUAAAAAGAUACGCGAGCUGGGUUCAGACCGUCGUGAGACAGGUCGGUCUCCUAUCUACUGCAGGCGUUGAUACUUGAGGGGAGUUGUCCCUUGUACGAGAGGAUCGGGAUGAACGGACCUCUGGUGUACGUUGUACGAGAGGAUCGGGAUGAACGGACCUCUGGUGUACGAGCUGUCGCGCCAGCGGCACUGCUCGGUAGCUAUGUCCGGACGGGAUAAGCGCUGAAAGCAUCUAAGUGCGAAGCCCACCCCAAGAUUAGGUAUCGUUAAGGUCCGUGGAAGAUGACCACGUAAA